RNAcentral lists this ribosomal RNA (440 nucleotides) under uncultured bacterium. RNAcentral describes it as "partial 16S ribosomal RNA". It matches the Rfam family "Bacterial small subunit ribosomal RNA", at positions 338 to 795 of the family's 1533-position model. The record is from RNAcentral.
CCUACGGGAGGCAGCAGUGGGGAAUAUUGCACAAUGGGGGAAACCCUGAUGCAGCGACGCCGCGUGAGCGAUGAAGUAUUUCGGUAUGUAAAACUCUAUCAGCAGGGAAGAAAAUGACGGUACCUGACUAAGAAGCCCCGGCUAACUACGUUCCAGCAGCCGCGGUAAUACGUAGGGGGCCAGCGUUAUCCGGAUUUACUGGGUGUAAAGGGAGCGUAGACGGCUGUGUAAGCCAGAUGUGAAAGCCCGGGGCUCAACCCCAGGACUGCAUUUGGAACUGGGUGGCUGGAGUGUCGGAGAGGUAGGCGGAAUUCGUAGUGUAGCGGUGAAAUGCGUAGAUAUUAGGAGGAACACCAGUGGCGAAGGCGGCUUGCUGGACGACGACUGACGCUGAUGCGCGAAAGCGUGGGGAGCAAACAGGAUUAGAUACCCGGGUAGUC